Capnocytophaga sp. oral taxon 329 is the source of this 36-nucleotide non-coding RNA. The record is from Rfam. Lineage: Bacteria; Pseudomonadati; Bacteroidota; Flavobacteriia; Flavobacteriales; Flavobacteriaceae.
GAGGCGAAAUCCUGAAAAGCCUAAAAAGAGUAGGGA